This 253-nucleotide ribosomal RNA is filed under the name uncultured bacterium. Its description in RNAcentral is "partial 16S ribosomal RNA". It matches the Rfam family "Bacterial small subunit ribosomal RNA", at positions 524 to 776 of the family's 1533-position model. The record is from RNAcentral.
GACGUAGGGCGCAAGCGUUGUCCGGAUUUAUUGGGCGUAAAGAGCUCGUAGGCGGCUUGUUGCGUCGUCCGUGAAAUCCCAUGGCUCAACUGUGGGCUUGCGGUCGAUACGGGCAAGCUGGAGUUCGGUAGGGGAGACUGGAAUUCCUGGUGUAGCGGUGAAAUGCGUAGAGAUCCGGAGGAACACCAGAGGCGAAGGCGGCCUACUGGGCUGCACCUGACGCUGAGCCGCGAAAGCCAGGGGAGCGAACGGG